RNAcentral lists this transfer RNA (64 nucleotides) under Phintella cavaleriei. RNAcentral's name for it is "tRNA-Phe". Lineage: Eukaryota; Metazoa; Arthropoda; Arachnida; Araneae; Salticidae. The record is from RNAcentral.
UAUUAUAUAGCUUAUUAAUAAAGCAAUUUACUGAAGAUAAAAAGAACUAACAUCUUUAUCAUGA